This 2043-nucleotide ribosomal RNA is filed under the name Triticum aestivum (bread wheat). Its description in RNAcentral is "partial small subunit ribosomal RNA". Lineage: Eukaryota; Viridiplantae; Streptophyta; Magnoliopsida; Poales; Poaceae. The record is from RNAcentral.
AUGGCGGCAUCCGGUGCUGCUUUGUGCCUCUCCGUUGUCCUGCUCCUCGUCGCCGUCUGCUGCCGCUCCGACGUCGACUUCAUCUACCAGGGCUUCCAGCACGCGCCCAACCUGAGCCUGGACGGGUCGGCGUCGGUGCUGCGCGGCGGCGCGCUCCAGCUCACCAACGGCAGCGAGCGCCUCGUCGGCCACGCCUUCUACGGCUCCCCCGUGGCUCUGGGCACGCUCGACAACCAGGGAGACCUCGCGGUCACCUCCUUCAGCACGGCCUUCGUCUUCGACAUCGUGACCAUCGGCACCGGCGGCGGCCACGGCCUCGCCUUCGUGGUGGCCCCGUCCAGGGCGCUCCCCGGGGUGUCGCCGGAGAUCUACCUCGGCGUCCUCGGGCCGACCACCAACGGAAAGGCCUCCAACCACGUCUUCGCCGUCGAGUUCGACACGGUCACCGACCUGGAGAUGAAGGAGACCAACGGCAACCACGUCGGCGUCGACGUCAACAGCCUCGUGUCCAACGUGUCCGAGCAGGCCGCGUACUACACCACCGGCGCCGACGGGGAGGACAGGAAGAUGCCCGUGAAGCUGGAGAGCGCACAGCAGAUCCAGGCGUGGAUAGACUACGACGGCGGUACCAGCUUGCUCAACGUGACCGUCGCCCCGGUGUCCGUGACUGACCGACCGCAGCGGCCGCUCAUAUCGACAAAGCUUGAUCUCCGGUCGGUCUUCAAGGAGAACAUGUACAUCGGCUUCUCUUCAGCGACCGGGAAGCUCGCGAGCUCGCACUACAUCCUGGCAUGGAGUUUCCGGACUAAUGGGCUCGCCCAGCCCAUUGAUCUCCGGCGGCUGCCGAAGGUCCCGAGGCAGAGAACGCCGGCUCCCAAGGUCCUCAUCAUCAAAUUUGCCGCCGUGGCUUGUGCAGGGACACUCGCUUUGGUUGCCGCGGCGAUGGUUACUGCGCUCUGGCUCCGGCAUAGGGCGGCGCUCGCCGACAAGAUGGAGGACUGGGAGCUAGAACACCCCCAGAGGAUUCCAUACAUCGAGCUCUACAAGGCGACCAAGGGGUUCAAGGAGAGCGGGCUUCUCGGCUCGGGUGGUUUCGGCCACGUGUACAAAGGUGUGCUCGGACGUCGUCGGUCCGGCUCCGGCUCCGGCUCCGCGUCCGGCGAGGAGGUGGCCAUCAAGCGGAUCUCCAGCGGCACCAAGCAAGGGAUGAGGGAGUUCGUGGCGGAGAUCUCGAGCCUCGGGCGGAUGCGCCACCGUAACCUGGUGGAGCUGCGCGGGUGGUGCAAGCAUGGCGAUGACCUGCUCCUCGUCUACGAGUUCAUGCCCAACGGCAGCCUCGACGCGCACCUGUUCGGCGGGGGCAAGGUGCUCACGUGGGCGCAGCGGCUCAGCGUCAUCCGGGGCGUGGCGCGCGGCCUGCUGUACCUGCACGAGGAGUGGGAGCACGUGGUGGUGCACCGCGACGUGAAGGCUAACAACGUGCUGCUGGGCGCCGACAUGGGCGCGCGGCUGGGCGACUUCGGCCUGGCACGCCUCUACGAGCACGGCGCGGCCCCGGGCACCACGCGCGUGGCCGGCACCCUGGGGUACAUGGCCCCCGAGCUCACCGUGACCAGUCGAGCCACCACGGCCACCGACGUCUUCUCCUUCGGCGCGCUGCUGCUCGAGGUCGCGUGCGGCCGCCGGCCCGUCGAGCCGGGCGAGGCGGCGGACGUGAUCCUUGUGCGGUGGGUCCGGGACUGCGGGCUGGACGGCGACCUGAUGCGGGCCGUGGAUCCGAGGCUGGAUGGGUGCUACGACGCCGCGGAGGCGAGGCUGGUGCUGUGGCUGGGCAUGGUGUGCAGCCAGGGCCGGCCUGAGGCGAGGCCAAGCAUGAGGCAGGUCUGCCAGUUCCUCAACGGCGAGGAGGUGCUGCCGGAGGACGCCGUGCUCGUGUUCUCGGAUCCUGACUCGUCCGUGUUCCCUGGGUCCGUGCUCUCCUCCAUGACCUGGUCCUCCUCCUGUGGCACCAUGUCGGUCGGCUCGCUGCAUGGCGGCCGGUGA